Long non-coding RNA from Raphanus sativus (radish), 4988 nucleotides. RefSeq lists it as uncharacterized. NCBI's taxonomy places the organism in Eukaryota, Viridiplantae, Streptophyta, Magnoliopsida, Brassicales, Brassicaceae. The transcript is spliced from 3 exons. The record is from RefSeq and is a predicted model, not a curated record.
CCAAUGUUUUGUAAAUGUUUAGGAAAUCUCUUGUAUUUUAAAAUAUUUAUCUUUUUUCUUUGCAAUUGUAUGUUUCUCAUACAACAUGUAUCGAGUAUUAAUUUGGUAGAACAUAUAAACAUGAGCUUAUAUGACAACACUUAUUAUCAAAAUUUACAAUUGUUGGAAAACAUAGUUUAAAAAAACUAAACACUAAUAAAUUAAAAUAAUUGUAUAUGCUAUCUACGAGUUUAUAUUAACAAAAUCCAACAAUAUAUAACUUCUUAAUAUCAAAUCUAUUUAUAUAAAGUAGUGUUUUCUCUCCUGUGAGAGAGACACGUCACUAAGCACACAUGUCAUGCUAUUAACGAUUUACGAUCGUUUCUUUUGGGCUGCUAUCUAGGCUUCAUAAUUAUUAGUUCAUGUUGUAUUCUGUAAAGUGCUCGGUCCCCUAUAGGAGCCUCCGCCAUCAACGUACAUUCCUUCAUCGAAAGUUCGGAACCCUACUCUGUUCAUCUUCCUAAUUGCAAUAAACUGAAAACUUUUAGUGGUUUCUUUUUUGAAACUGAAACAUUUAGUAGUUGCGCUCCCUCAUUUACUGCCUUCGCAAAAAAUUCAAACUAUAAAAAGCUCUGUUCAAAAUUGUGCUAGGUGCUAGUCGGGCAGUGACCUCGGGCCUAGCGAGUUACCAAAAAAUCGGGGAUUAAGCGGGAUAUACGCGGGGAUUAGUUUUUUAUUUUUUUUAGUUUUAUUUCAAACUAAAAUUAAAAUAUAAUGUAAACAUACAUUAUAAUGUGAUAGUUUCUGUGUACUGAAAUUAUCAAUAACUAACUUUAAUAAAAUCAGUUGUUAAAUAUAAAUAUAUUAAUUAUGGAUCAGGUUUUGUACUUUUAUUAUAUUUACAUGCGUAUAUAUAUUAUCAUUUUCGACUCAUUACCAAGGGUUUGCUGUCUCCUAGUGGUCCAGACCAUGUAAUUAUUUUCGCAUUAUUAUAUUCUAGAAGGAAGAAAGUCCCACAUCGGUUACACAAAGGAAAAGGGGGUGAAAUGUUACUCUAUAUAUACUUGUCUCCUCGCUUGGUAAUAGAUAAGAUAAGAUAUGGGCUUUCUGUUAAACCCAAAAUAUCUUACAGUUUAAUUAUUGGGCCGAAUAAUCACCGAUUAGUCGGUUAAUGGGCCGAUUAAUUGAAAUCUGGGCCGAUUAAUUGGCUCUCGGUUUUAUUGCCCGGUUUGGGCAAAAUCGCGGCGGAGAAGGUCCGGGUAGCGCCUAGUCGGGCGCCUAUGCGGCUGGGCGCCCGCGUUUUAGAACAGGGAUAAAAAGUAUGCUUGACCCGUGAAAUGCAUUAGUUCUUUCUUCACAUUCAUCAGCUUUCUAAGAAAUCAAAGUCGAUAAUGGCUAAUUCUUCUGUCUUCCUCGCCGAUUUGAAGGCUAGCCGCUGCACCUCCACCACCGAGGUCCGUUUGUUUAGGUUCUGGGAAGCUAGGAAUAUUAAGCGUGCCAGCGAGGGUCGACAUGCUCUUCCUGGACGCAAGGUAAAUCGGCUUGACUAUGUAGUUUUUUUUGUUUCUUAAUCCUUCCUCGCGUUGUUGGUGUUUUGGUUAUGAAACUUUCAAAUCUAAUAGUAGUUCUUCACUAGAGAUCAUUUUGUUCAUGUAUUCGUAAUCAAAAUAGUUUUCUUUUUCUUUUUUGUUUUUAGUCCUUUCUCGCUUUGUUGGUGUUUUGAUUAUCAAACUUUUAAAUCUAAUAGCUCUUCACCGGAUAUCAAUACGUUCAUGUCUUUGUUAUUCUCCAGAAGUUUUGUUACUUUCAAAUAUUUGGGAUAUGAUCAUUGUUGUGAUUGUUGAUUCUGUUUCACUUUGCCGUAUAAGGAGAUCUGCUUAUGUUUUUGAUUAUAAAAAACGUUAACAAACGUUUUAGUUCAUGGUUAAUGAUUAAAAACGAUAGUGAGAACAAGAAUGAUAUGACAAAGAAAAGUGGACGUUGAAGGUUUCCUCUCAGCACAAGCUGCCAUAGAUGUGAUUAAAGACUCCAUGUAAGUUUGUUUUCUCCAAAACACCAGUGUAUUUUUCCUGUUUACUCUGUUACCUUAGUCACAGCAAACAAUAGUCCUGUCCUUUUGGUUUACGCCGGAACCAGCAGGAGUGUCUGAAAAUUGCAAUGCCACGGAAGGAAAUUUAACGGCACGGAAAUUUUAAAUGGACGCUAAUAAAUUGCCGAAAGAAUAAAAUAUAGGACUUAGCUGACGCCAAAAAAUUCAGCGUCCCUUUUCUUCCUCGCGAUCAGCCGCAGCGUCAAGAGAAACAGGCUGGCGGUGUUUCAUGAGUGAUGCGCUGGGUUGUGUUUUGCGGUGGUUAUAAUUAAUUUUUCAGACGCUGCCGCCGGUUUUGGAGUUAACCAAAAGAACAGGGCUAAUGUAGUGUUUUUAUGUAAACGCAGGGAUCUCUACGCAUCUUACAUCAAAGCUGUCUUGCAGCGUUAGUGAACAUACCGGUCGAAUCCGUUCCUCCAGGUUUGCGUUGAUUCCUUCUCCGGGUCGCUGGAGAACAAACUCACUAUUCUAGGUUUUAUGUUGAGACCCGAACGAUCUUUGUCAACCGGUGAAUGAAUGGAAUCGGCAAGCUGGAAUCCUGACGCCGUUGUUUCUAUAAUCGUCCUAAACACAUCUCUAAUUGUACUUGAAACAACACCUCUAACAAAUGACUGGUGAGUGUAUAUGGGAGGAUUUUGGAUGGGUUUUGUUAGAUAGACUGAAAGAUGUCUCUGCAGAGAAUAAUCAAUAUUCUAAGGCAAGAAACAUGGAAGGGUAAUAUAGAACGGGGAAUAUCCGAAGGAUUCUUUUACAUGCGUUUGGGGAAGACGCAUCACCAAAAGUGAGGAUCUGCGGGAAAAUGAAUGCCAAGGUUUUAAGGAAGAAGUCGUGAGAAAGAAAGAGAAGUGUAUUAUGCUUAGUGGAUGUCCGACUGAUCAGACUUCAGAGUACGCACGAAGGGGCAAGUCUAUUGAACAUCCCUGAUUCUAUACAUAUCAUACUUGGUGAGAAAAUAAGUUAAGAAGAUCACAAACAAGUAACUGUUUUAAGGUGUGAGAGAGCUUCUUGAGUAUGAAUGUUAUGAUAACCAAACUGGGUUGUAUUGCAACGAUACUAAUGUGGUUGCUCCAAUCAUAUGUUGAACUGAAUUUCCAGAUUUAGUUACUUCAAAGUAUUCUGGAGUUUGUUGUUGACUCAGUUUCGAGAGCUUUGAUUUCAUUUGAAAUGAUUUGAGAAAUUAGUUGGAAUGACAUACAAUUUACUAGAAAUUACUAGAGUAACACACCAAAAAAAAAAAGGCUUCAUCUGGACUCAAAUGCCCCGUCGGUAAAAAAAUAUCAAUUAAGGUAAAAUUCCCAUUCCUAUUACUUGACCAAAAAAUGGUGAAAUCUCUUUUAAAAAAAACCAACCACGAUAUCUUUCUCUUCUGUAACUCCAAGAACCCUAAAUCCCAAAAUUGUGAAAUCCUCAAACUCUUGACUCUCUUUAGUUUUCAUCAUGAUUUCUCAUCGAUUUCGUCAUCUCCGCACCCUAAUCAACCACUAAAACCUUCGAUUCACAUAGGAGAAGUGAACCCGAAACCCAAUCGACGAACCCUAAACCCCCUUUCUAAAAUUUUCAGCUGCGUGAAUCUUAAGGCUUUCAUCACUUACAAACUCCUCUCCACAUCAAUCAGUUUAAUCCACCUAUUUUUUCCACCAAAGGUUAGUCUCUGUCAAACGAUUUUUAAUAUUCAGUAUCAAAUGAAUUUAAUUUUCACACGACACAGAGUAGAUAGAAGUGUUUUUCGUUUGUACAUUUGUUGAUAUCAGUUGGGUAUCGUCUGGGUCUGGGUCUUGGUCGUUUUUCUUCACUCUUGGUUUGUAAUACUUACUACAUCUAACAUUUCUUUUCAGACGGAUGACUACAUCAAACAGUGGAAAAAGAUAUCCAGCAAGACUUUAUGAAGAGGGGAAAUCUCCAUUACAGCAUCGAAGCAUGAAUCAUAACUGUCACUUGGCUAAUUUGCAGAUGGUGAAAGAAGAAAUUGGUUUAGAUGCGUGGGAAUCUAUUAAAACAUCAUCUGUUGGAGUUAUUCUGAAGCUGAAAGAGCUGAAUUAUACAUGGUCAGCCAAGGCGGUUCACCAUUUACUUACAAACCAAUUGGUGGUUAAUAAUAUCCAUGAGAUAUGGAGUGCUAUAGAAGGUCAGGCAAUAAGGUUUUCGCUAUAUGAGUUUGGUGAUAUUACAAGUUUAAAUUGCAAGCCUUUCAACAUAAAUGAAGAGGUGGAGAUUGAUCAUAAACCAUUUUGGGAAAAGCUUGGUGUUUCUCCUUCACAUGGUCCUAUGCUUUCUGAGUUGCGGUUGUUGUUCACUAAAGUUAGGAAUUGGACAUUUGAGGAGAGAAGAAUGUUUGGUUUACUAUGUGUCUUGUCUGUUGGAGUACUUGGCAUCUCUCCAGGCAGUAGAAUUCCUUUGGAUCAAGCAAAGAGAGUCCUAGACAUAGAAGCAUUUGAUAGAUACCCUUGGGGGCGUGUGGGAUUUUCUAGCCUGGUAAAUUCAGUGAAAAUUGUUUCAUAUGAAGAAAGGAACAAGUAUACACUUCGCGGAUGCGUGCAUGCUCUCCUCAUCUGGUUGUAUGAGUCGAUACCUGGUAUUGGACAUGAAUAUGGGAAUCAUAUUGAGGGUAACCAAGUUCCUCUUCUCUCUUGGUCUGGAUCUCGUGGCCGUAUAAACUGGGAUUAGUUUUAUAUCAAGGAGAAAAGUCUCCAUCAGAAGGUAAGAGUCAGACAUCUCAUUGAGAAGCCAGAAGCUGAGAUAUAUCCUCAAUGGCCAGAGGACAAGGUUGAUGAUGAUCUUCACAACUUGAUCACAGACAUUCUACAUGGUGAGCUUGAUGAUACAUAUUGGAACUUGAACUCACGUACUGCACCAGUACCAAACAAAGAGAAAAAGAAAUUGGUGAGUGAAGAAGAGUGUAUGAAGAAAAAAAUGCCAAAAG